CAUUUUGUUUUAAAUAGAGUCUGGGGGAAUAGGAGAAAACGCUGUAAACGCACAAGCACUUUGGUUGGUUAAAUUAGGGUUCCGACAAGAGCCGGAGCGGUGUGCCAAGUAAAAACUACAUUUCCCACCGGGCAGCGGGUCACGUCACAGAGGAACGACUGCGCAUGCGUUCAAGGUCCUCCGCGCGCGACUACGCUCAUAAAAGGAAAAAAAAAAGCGUGUGCGGUUCUCGACGUGCCGCCAAUCUUCGAACGCAGGUCCGUGAUCAUCCGCAGACUCCGAAAAAGCGUUCAAGGAACGCGCCUGCUUCCCUCGUCGCAGUUUCCAGCCCGAAGAGCUUGUUUUCUGCGAGACUUGGCACACCCAGGAACAGCGCUUCACCAGCCAUCUAGGCAUCCCUCAAUCCAGACAAGUUGUUACCUAGGAUUAACCAUCACACCUGGAAAUCUAGAGCGUGGAGCUUUGAGGUGCAGCACGUAAGCAGGUAUGCAGUGCAGCAGAAAGGUCCAGGAGCUCCCUGGGAGCUUGAGGGUGGGCUGAGGCGUGAAUGGGAGAAGUGACGAUGGUAGGCGUGGUAGUUUUUUGUUUGUUUGUUUGUUUUGUUUUGUUUUUUUUGAGAUAGAGUCUCGCUCUGUCACCCAGGCUGGAGUUCAGUGGUACGAUUUUGGCUCACUGUAACCUCCACCUCCCGGGUUCAUGCAAUUCUCCUGCCUCAUCCUCUAGAGUAGCUGGGACUACAGGCACCUGCCACCACACCUGGCUGAUUUUUGUAUUUUUAGUAGAGACGGGGUUUCACUAUGUUGGUCUCGAACUCCUGACCUCAUGAUCCACCUGCCUCGGCCUCCCAAAGUGCUGGGAUUACAGGUGUGAGCCACUGCGCCUAGCCCAGUAUGGUAGUUUUAUGGUGAAGAAAAGGAUAGUGAUUCAGUGAGUAUUUAUUGAGAACCCAGUGUGCCAGGCUCUGUGCUAGGUAUGGAGAAUAAAUUGAUCCCUGUCCUCGAAGACUGGACA
Molecule: long non-coding RNA, 1011 nt
Filed under: Piliocolobus tephrosceles (Ugandan red Colobus)
Lineage: Eukaryota; Metazoa; Chordata; Mammalia; Primates; Cercopithecidae
Description: lncRNA (ENSPTEG00000023577.1)
Source: RNAcentral